This 751-nucleotide ribosomal RNA is filed under the name uncultured Acinetobacter sp. Its description in RNAcentral is "bacterial SSU rRNA". It matches the Rfam family "Bacterial small subunit ribosomal RNA", at positions 74 to 820 of the family's 1533-position model. Lineage: Bacteria; Pseudomonadati; Pseudomonadota; Gammaproteobacteria; Moraxellales; Moraxellaceae. The record is from RNAcentral.
GGUAGCUUGCUACUUUACCUAGCGGCGGACGGGUGAGUAAUGCUUAGGAAUCUGCCUAUUAGUGGGGGACAACAUCUCGAAAGGGAUGCUAAUACCGCAUACGUCCUACGGGAGAAAGCAGGGGACCUUCGGGCCUUGCGCUAAUAGAUGAGCCUAAGUCGGAUUAGCUAGUUGGUGGGGUAAAGGCCUACCAAGGCGACGAUCUGUAGCGGGUCUGAGAGGAUGAUCCGCCACACUGGGACUGAGACACGGCCCAGACUCCUACGGGAGGCAGCAGUGGGGAAUAUUGGACAAUGGGGGGAACCCUGAUCCAGCCAUGCCGCGUGUGUGAAGAAGGCCUUUUGGUUGUAAAGCACUUUAAGCGAGGAGGAGGCUACCGAGAUUAAUACUCUUGGAUAGUGGACGUUACUCGCAGAAUAAGCACCGGCUAACUCUGUGCCAGCAGCCGCGGUAAUACAGAGGGUGCAAGCGUUAAUCGGAUUUACUGGGCGUAAAGCGCGCGUAGGUGGCCAAUUAAGUCAAAUGUGAAAUCCCCGAGCUUAACUUGGGAAUUGCAUUCGAUACUGGUUGGCUAGAGUAUGGGAGAGGAUGGUAGAAUUCCAGGUGUAGCGGUGAAAUGCGUAGAGAUCUGGAGGAAUACCGAUGGCGAAUGCAGCCAUCUGGCCUAAUACUGACACUGAGGUGCGAAAGCAUGGGGAGCAAACAGGAUUAGAUACCCUGGUAGUCCAUGCCGUAAACGAUGUCUACUAGC